GAGUUUGAUCAUGGCUCAGAACGAACGCUGGCGGCAUGCCUAACACAUGCAAGUCGAACGAGACCUUCGGGUCUAGUGGCGCACGGGUGCGUAACGCGUGGGAAUCUGCCCUUGGGUUCGGAAUAACAGUUAGAAAGUGACUGGCUAAUACCGGAUGAUGUCUUCGGACCAAAGAUUUAUCGCCCAGGGAUAGAGCCCGCGUAGGAUUAGCUUGUUGGUGAGGUAAAGGCUCACCAAGGCGACGAUCCUUAAGCUGGUCUGAGAGGAUGAUCAGCCACACUGGGACUGAGACACGGCCCAGACUCCUACGGGAGCAGCAGUGGGGAAUAUUGGGACAAAUGGGCGAAAAGCCUGAUCCAAGCAAAUGCCGCGUGAGUGAUGAAGGCC
RNAcentral lists this ribosomal RNA (387 nucleotides) under uncultured Alphaproteobacteria bacterium. Its description in RNAcentral is "bacterial SSU rRNA". It matches the Rfam family "Bacterial small subunit ribosomal RNA", at positions 9 to 416 of the family's 1533-position model. Lineage: Bacteria; Pseudomonadati; Pseudomonadota; Alphaproteobacteria. The record is from RNAcentral.